UGUGAUAGAUCAACUGUAGAUC
This 22-nucleotide unclassified non-coding RNA is filed under the name Mus musculus (house mouse). RNAcentral describes it as "oocyte_clustered_small_RNA465". Lineage: Eukaryota; Metazoa; Chordata; Mammalia; Rodentia; Muridae. The record is from RNAcentral.